GACGAACGCUGGCGGCGUGCUUAACACAUGCAAGUCGAACGGAAAGGCCCUGCUUUUGUGGGGUGCUCGAGUGGCGAACGGGUGAGUAACACGUGAGUAACCUGCCCUUGACUUUGGGAUAACUUCAGGAAACUGGGGCUAAUACCGGAUAGGAGCUCCUGCUGCAUGGUGGGGGUUGGAAAGUUUCGGCGGUUGGGGAUGGACUCGCGGCUUAUCAGCUUGUUGGUGGGGUAGUGGAUUACCAAGGCUUUGACGGGUAGCCGGCCUGAGAGGGUGACCGGCCACAUUGGGCCUGAGAUACGGCCCAGACUCCUACGGGAGGCAGCAGUGGGGAAUAUUGCACAAUGGGCGGAAGCCUGAUGCAGCAACGCCGCGUGCGGGAUGACGGCCUUCGGGUUGUAAACCGCUUUCGCCUGUGACGAAGCGUGAGUGACGGUAAUGGGUAAAGAAGCACCGGCUAACUACGUG
Molecule: ribosomal RNA, 468 nt
Filed under: uncultured bacterium
Lineage: Bacteria
Description: partial 16S ribosomal RNA
Rfam family: Bacterial small subunit ribosomal RNA
Source: RNAcentral